CCUACGGGUGGCAGCAGUGGGGAAUAUUGCACAAUGGGGGGAACCCUGAUGCAGCGACGCCGCGUGGGUGAAGGAGUAUUUCGGUAUGUAAAGCCCUAUCAGCAGGGAAGAACAAUGACGGUACCUGACUAAGAAGCACCGGCUAACUACGUGCCAGCAGCCGCGGUAAUACGUAGGGGGCAAGCGUUAUCCGGAUUUACUGGGUGUAAAGGGGGCGCAGACGGCAGCGCAAGCCAGGAGUGAAAGCCCGGGGCCCAACCCCGGGACUGCUCUUGGAACUGCGCGGCUGGAGUGCAGGAGGGGCAGGCGGAAUUCCUGGUGUAGCGGUGAAAUGCGUAGAUAUCAGGAGGAACACCAGUGGCGAAGGCGGCUUACUGGACUGUAACUGACGUUGAGGCUCGAAAGCGUGGGGAGCAAACAGGAUUAGAUACCCUGGUAGUC
Molecule: ribosomal RNA, 441 nt
Filed under: uncultured bacterium
Lineage: Bacteria
Description: partial 16S ribosomal RNA
Rfam family: Bacterial small subunit ribosomal RNA
Source: RNAcentral